CCAGACGGCCGGAUGACCGCUCUUCGGGCAACCGAAGGGAGGAAAGUCCGGGCUCCACGGAAACACGGUGCCGGGUAACGCCCGGCGGGGGCGACCCCAGGGACAGUGCCACAGAGAGCAGACCGCCGCCGCCGCCCUUCGGGGCGCCGACGGCAAGGGUGAAAGGGUGCGGUAAGAGCGCACCGCGGUCCCGGCAACGGGAACGGCACGGCAAACCCCACCGGGAGCAAGACCAAAUAGGGGCGGCAGGCCGGAGCGAUCCGGCGCCUGCGUUUCCGCAAAGCCGCCCGGGUCGGUCGCGCGAGGCGUCCAGUAACGGACGUCCCAGAUGAAUGGUCAUCCCCCACCGCCAAGGUGGGGACAGAACCCGGCUUAUAGGCCGUCUGGCACU
This 391-nucleotide RNase P RNA is filed under the name Rhodospirillales bacterium. Its description in RNAcentral is "RNase P RNA component class A". It matches the Rfam family "Bacterial RNase P class A". Rfam says of the family: Ribonuclease P (RNase P) is a ubiquitous endoribonuclease, found in archaea, bacteria and eukarya as well as chloroplasts and mitochondria. The record is from RNAcentral. Lineage: Bacteria; Pseudomonadati; Pseudomonadota; Alphaproteobacteria; Rhodospirillales.